RNAcentral lists this ribosomal RNA (1104 nucleotides) under Enterococcus durans. RNAcentral describes it as "bacterial SSU rRNA". It matches the Rfam family "Bacterial small subunit ribosomal RNA", at positions 51 to 1125 of the family's 1533-position model. The record is from RNAcentral. Lineage: Bacteria; Bacillati; Bacillota; Bacilli; Lactobacillales; Enterococcaceae.
AUACAUGCAAGUCGUACGCUUCUUUUUCCACCGGAGCUUGCUCCACCGGAAAAAGAAGAGUGGCGAACGGGUGAGUAACACGUGGGUAACCUGCCCAUCAGAAGGGGAUAACACUUGGAAACAGGUGCUAAUACCGUAUAACAAUCGAAACCGCAUGGUUUUGAUUUGAAAGGCGCUUUCGGGUGUCGCUGAUGGAUGGACCCGCGGUGCAUUAGCUAGUUGGUGAGGUAACGGCUCACCAAGGCCACGAUGCAUAGCCGACCUGAGAGGGUGAUCGGCCACAUUGGGACUGAGACACGGCCCAAACUCCUACGGGAGGCAGCAGUAGGGAAUCUUCGGCAAUGGACGAAAGUCUGACCGAGCAACGCCGCGUGAGUGAAGAAGGUUUUCGGAUCGUAAAACUCUGUUGUUAGAGAAGAACAAGGAUGAGAGUAACUGUUCAUCCCUUGACGGUAUCUAACCAGAAAGCCACGGCUAACUACGUGCCAGCAGCCGCGGUAAUACGUAGGUGGCAAGCGUUGUCCGGAUUUAUUGGGCGUAAAGCGAGCGCAGGCGGUUUCUUAAGUCUGAUGUGAAAGCCCCCGGCUCAACCGGGGAGGGUCAUUGGAAACUGGGAGACUUGAGUGCAGAAGAGGAGAGUGGAAUUCCAUGUGUAGCGGUGAAAUGCGUAGAUAUAUGGAGGAACACCAGUGGCGAAGGCGGCUCUCUGGUCUGUAACUGACGCUGAGGCUCGAAAGCGUGGGGAGCAAACAGGAUUAGAUACCCUGGUAGUCCACGCCGUAAACGAUGAGUGCUAAGUGUUGGAGGGUUUCCGCCCUUCAGUGCUGCAGCUAACGCAUUAAGCACUCCGCCUGGGGAGUACGACCGCAAGGUUGAAACUCAAAGGAAUUGACGGGGGCCCGCACAAGCGGUGGAGCAUGUGGUUUAAUUCGAAGCAACGCGAAGAACCUUACCAGGUCUUGACAUCCUUUGACCACUCUAGAGAUAGAGCUUCCCCUUCGGGGGCAAAGUGACAGGUGGUGCAUGGUUGUCGUCAGCUCGUGUCGUGAGAUGUUGGGUUAAGUCCCGCAACGAGCGCAACCCUUAUUGUUAGUUGCCAUCAUU